This is a non-coding RNA of Galeopterus variegatus (Sunda flying lemur), 378 nucleotides long. NCBI's taxonomy places the organism in Eukaryota, Metazoa, Chordata, Mammalia, Dermoptera, Cynocephalidae. The record is from the annotation of a RefSeq genome assembly.
AUGGUGUCAGGGGCUCCCCUGCUGUGGAUCCUGCUGCUCAGGGUUCCAGGCUCCACUGGGGACAUUGUGCUGCCACAGUCUCCAGCCUCCUUGGCUGUAUCUCCAGGAGAAAGGGCCACUAUUCCCUUCAGGGCCAGCCAGAGUGUCAAAACCAUGAAAUGGUAUCAGCAGAAACCAGAAUGGUAUCAGCAGAAACCAGGACAACCCCCUAAAUUCCUGAUCUGUGGAACAUCCAUUCGAGAUUCUGGGGUCCCAGCCAGUUUCAGUGGCAGUGGGUCUGGGACUGACUUCACCCUCACAAUUCACCGAGUAGAGGCCGAUGCUGCUGCAAACUAUUACUGUCAGCAGAAUAAGGAGCUUCCUCCCACAGUCCUCUAG